GGAUCCUGACAGUUACAUUCUACUGCAGCACGUUCUUCAUCUCGUGGUAGAACACACCGGUAAUCUCCGUCUUCAUGUCGCCGGAGUAGCUACCGAUCCAUCCAUGGUCUCCACAAUCAAGAUCACGCUCUUCCUAUCGGUUUUCCUCGUCCUCCGGAAGGUUCACCGGAUGAAUUGGGUGCCCGAGGUCGGGGGCUGGCAUUACCACUGCGACGGUCACUCCUCACAACCAGAGGUGAUAAGAGGAAGAAGACGGACGAGUUUUCAUCUUUACGUUGACUUGUAAAGGUUUUCAUGGGUAAGAGAAUCCAGAUUCUUUCAAAGAUACAGUCUUUUGUACAUAGGGACACGUGUCGCACCAUAUUUGGUCUAACACGUAUCUCCCAAAUUGGGAUACCCUUAUCGGUAAUGAGUGCUUUCGAGUCUCCGUUCACAGUAGACUUUCCUUGUUAGGGUUUCGAUUUUCUCUAAUCAGUUGCCAGGGGAAUACUAAGUUUUUCACUUUGUAGAGGAUGAUCGGACUAAUUGAGAGCUUUGCUUUGCUUGAAUCUCUCCUAAAUCGUCACAAAUGGCGGGUUCUCUUGCUCAACAAGUAAUUAAUCUAUUGAAGAGACUGGGGAAGAAAUUCAUUACGGUUGCAGAGAUUGUGUUUGUUCUGGUCAAUCACAAGAAACAACUUAUGUCUUCAAGAGCAGUUUAUGUACCAGAUCAGGCGAAAGGGAACAGAUGCUCUGCCUUUCUUUGGUCUCGAAAUCACUCCCUGCUUGAGAAUGAAUGGUGGUUUUUAAAUUAAGACCCUGAAAUCUGGCCAGAAUACUUUUAAGUGAAAUAGCACUCAGCAAAUGAUGAACCCCUGAACGAUCUGUUCAAGUUUCAGCAUACUUGGGGGAGCUUCUGGCGCAGAUUAUGUGUGAGAACCAGGAGCCAGAUGCUGCGGAGGAGGUCUCCAGCUUCUCCAGAUUCUGGCGCUAAUGAUUCCAAAUGCCAAUAUCUCAUUGAACAGGACCUUUUAACUUGCAUAAUAGGGAGAAAUUGGAUUCUCAGAAUCUGAAUAGCGGAAGUUGGAGAAGCUCUUGUAAACAUGCUCUAAAACCUUCUCUGUAUUUUAGUCCUGAAGUGGGUAGGGGAAAAAAAAGAAAGUAAUGAAGACGGAGAAACUACUGUGCAGAUUAUUAAAACUAGCCAUUCGAUGAGUUGCAUGGGCACACUGACAAAAUCUUAAAUUGUAGAGUGCUGGAUCACUUGGAGCUCUUGCAGGAUUUGCUAUUGCCACAAUUUUUUCUUGGAAGUUGUUGAGAUCUAAUGGUAGACCACGAAGUAGCCUGCAGAAACAGACAAGUUCAGCGUCUACUAGUAAUGGAUCAAAUGAAGAUGUUUCUUCAUAUGAAACUCGCCGGCUAGAACAGAAUUUGAGCUGACAGUUGGACAAAGAGUGAGGAAGAAACUAAGUGGAAGCCGCAAGGGAGGAUGUAGCACGCAUAUAUACAGCUGAGGUUGUUUUUUCCGUUUCACUUCCUUACGAAUGGCACUAUGCAUAGGGAUUUAAAACCAGAAAAGUACUUCCAGGCAAUGUCGACCGAUUUUAGUCUGGCAAAGUAAUUUAAUAAGAGUACAAGAUCAAACUCCAUGUGUGGAUCAGUAGAAUGCAUGGCACCUGAAAUUGUUCUUCGGAAAGGCCAUGAUAAGGCUGCAGAUUGGUGGAGUAUGGGAGUCCUGUUGUUCAAGAUGCUCACUGGGAAGUUAGCUAUCGCCAAAGACCUUGAAGCUGCCUUCUUCAAAAUAUUGGAAAGCCUUCAACCUUGUUAAGUCGCGGAAUAAAAGCUGGAACUCAAAUAUUUUCUGUUUACAGUCUGAACCUGUUCCAUUAAAUAUUUAAUGUUGUUUAUUGUCUUAUUUAUUUAUUUAUUUAUUUUUUUAGUAUAAUGCUGAACGGAAUGGUCUUUGUAUCUUAUUUUAUACUUCUCACCCAUUAAUUUAUUAUCAGUUUAGAAAUAUAUAUUCUUUUU
Macadamia integrifolia is the source of this 2006-nucleotide long non-coding RNA. RefSeq lists it as uncharacterized. Lineage: Eukaryota; Viridiplantae; Streptophyta; Magnoliopsida; Proteales; Proteaceae. The record is from RefSeq and is a predicted model, not a curated record. The transcript has 9 exons.